UAGUCAGCCAUUUAUGUACUUAGAAUGCUGUCAGAUGUGCAUUUUACCACAUAUUCCUAAGGGCUCUUUUACAUUGGGAACGGAGAACACCCAUACCCAAUCACUGGUCCAUAAGACUUGCUGCUGAUCUGCCGACCAACGCUUGUUUGUUCGUCUAGUGAUCUGUCCUGUGUAAAUAGGAGCAUGCUGCUGACAAAACGAAAACUGUGUGGGGAGGAACGAUUCGAUUAGCAAUCAUUCAUCCCCAUACUCAAGAUGAUUGCCACAUGUAAAUCCCCUCUAAGAAGACCAUGUAAAAGGAUCCCAAGGCAUCAUUCCAUACAGGCCAGAAAAGAGCUGCCUCCUCUGCACAUGGGUGACAGCUAUACUAUAACCCUAUUUUAAUUUGAUUGCUGGACCUAUAGAGGAAAUAAAUUAUUAUUAACCCUUGUAACUUUAUAACUGUGAACGUACAGGUUAAACAUAUAGAAGACCUGAAAAGCACAUCUGUAGGGGUUUUUACUGUUGUUUUGCCCCCUUCCAAACAUAAAUCAGAGAAAAAGUCAGUACAUUUCUCGACAAUUUUAGCCGACAUGAAGAAAACAUUAACCAUUUGUUCUGAAACUAAUAGUUAUGGAAAGCCAAUGUGAUCCAAGAUGCUUCGUAAAAUUAAAAUGUCUUUCAUGCUUGUCACUUUGACUGGCUUACCUUGGUGUAAAGAACAUACAGCCACUAAUAACUUACACCACACCACCAAAGAUACAACUAUAGGAGCACAGGAUAGACAAACUCCUAUAUUGGGGAACAGCAUACACAGCAAUACACUAAUGCACUUCUAUUGUAAUAAGGGGCAACGGCUGGAAUAUCCUGCUGUCCUCAUCCAUUACUGGACCAAUCUCGCUUCAGAGAGUAUGUUAUGGUAACAGGUCUAUGAAAUAAUUGCUGUAUGCAAUGACCUAAUAUACAAGUAUAAGUCACUAUAGGUGAACAUAUGCAGACAUGCAAGAAGAGCUAUUGGGUCCUUGAUAAAGUAUACUGAAUAUACAUGUAAGAAUAUAUUGGAGAAUUGUGCAAUUUAGUUCCCCCAAGUCUACCAAAUUCUGAAAUCUGAAGUCCAGAAUUAAAGGGUUAUUCUGGUUGGCAAAAGUUAUCCCUCAUCCACAGAAUAGGGGAUAAUUAUUAGAUCAGUGGGGGUCAUGCCGCUGGGACCCCCACCGAUCAUGAGAAUGGAGGCCCCAUAACCCCUGUACCCGCUCUGUUCUUUUCAGGGGGGCUGCAGGGGGCCCCCGUUCUGGUGAUCAGUGGUGGUCCCAGCUAAUAACAUAAACCAGCCUCCAGUAAACAGAGCCCCAGCUAGGAUAUAUGGGUGCAGCACUUCGUGAGUAUGGGGAUGAACUCUGCAGACUUUCUGCACCAUAAUUGUGUACGGAAAAGUGGCAAAAUGGAUGAUAUUUAAAGGGGUUUUCUAGGCUCCUGAUAUUGAGAAACUUAUCCUUAGGAUAGGUCAUUCAUAUCCAAUCAAUGAGUGUCUGAUACCCCACACCCCUACUGAUCAGCUGUUCCCUGCAGCUUCAGGCACAGGAACCAACACUUUGAAUGGAGAAAGAAGCACAGCUCUCUACUAAAUACUAUGGGGGUCAUUUAUUAAGACAGACAUUUUAGACGCCGUCUUAGAAACCCCUAUAGCUGGUAGCGGAUACAUCGAAUUUAUGAAGAGGCGCAGGCCUCUAAAUAACCUCGGCGUAUCCAGCGCCAGUCUAAAUGUAAGCCAGCUUCCUUGCUGGCUUACAUUUAGACCAUUUUCUAUGCCUAAAACAAGACAUAGAAAAUUAUGCGGACGUGCCAGCUGGCCCAUGCCAUGCCCAUUUUCUUUAGAUCUGGCGUGAGCGAGGAAAAGUCACAGAAAUAAGCCUAAUAUAGGCAGAUUUCUGGAUAGUAAAUGACCCCCAAUGUACACAGUCUGUAUUUCUAAUGCCUAUUUUAUUAUACUUUGUUUCCAUGUGCUGCCUAUCAUAGAUAGUUUGUAUCUGGAGAUAAGGAGUAUAAUAAAAUUAAUUUAAAUCAUAUCAGACUCAAAAUCCUAGGACUCAACAGUCUGCAAAUUAAUAAUCAUAGAAAAUGAACCAGUUACCUAUAAAAAGGUCCUCAUCUGUAAGGAAGAUGGACAGCACAAUUUCACUAGUUUGUAGCUCCAAAUACAGCUUUCUUAAAGGGGUAUUUCCAGCUCAAACCUUUAUUGCAUGCUUACAAGAUAUGUCCUAUGUGCCUGAUAGAUAAGAGUACCACCUCAGGGACCUGCAUCCAUCUCUUGAAACAGGUCCCCCCAAUUUCGUUUCCCCUGUAUACAAGAGCCAAGGGUGGUCAGAACCACGUACAUAGCUAAGCGGGCUGUGCAACACUUUCUGCAUAACUCCUAUUCACUUCUCAGAGCCCGCUUGGCUGUUUCUGUAGUCCCAGCUACCUCUGACCACCACAUCCAAG
Molecule: long non-coding RNA, 2460 nt
Organism: Bufo bufo (common toad)
Lineage: Eukaryota; Metazoa; Chordata; Amphibia; Anura; Bufonidae
Exons: 3
Source: RefSeq, a predicted model, not a curated record